Non-coding RNA from Oryctolagus cuniculus (rabbit), 1037 nucleotides. The record is from RefSeq and is a predicted model, not a curated record. Lineage: Eukaryota; Metazoa; Chordata; Mammalia; Lagomorpha; Leporidae.
GAUCUGCACUCCUCUUGUUAUAGUCACAAGGCAGAAUUCUUAGGAAAACACCAUGGAAACAGUGCUAGCUUUCUCCACAGGACACACCAGUGACCCUGCCACUGAUCUCCUCCUUGGAGGAAGAAGCAGAAGUAUUAUUAGAAAUAAGUGGGCUGUAUUGGACUGCUAAACAACACACUGGAGAGGCAUAUGUUCUUCUCAAUUCCAGGAGCUUCUCAUGUGGAGUGAAAGGUUCUCAGUUCAGUCUUACCUGUUGGACUUCUUGGGAAUAGCAGUGAAGGCUCCGUUUACAGAAGGGUGAGAAACCUGAGCUUUGCAGAUGCACGUCUCUCUCUCGCUGUCAUCUUGCAAGAAGUGGGGAUUAGGUGUGGUCACCAUUGGCGGAACUGAAGCGCAGCAGCCCAUUGGAGAAGCGAUAAGGACGGAUAACGUCUGUGGAGACAGGCUGGCAGGGUUACAUGGAACAGUGCUUUCUUCACAGAAGCUUGCCCCUGGCUCCAUCUUGCUGGGGUCACUGGGUGUGUCCUCAUAAACAGGAGAUGGAGGAAGACUCAGCUCACACAGAAAAGGCAAAGUGAUGGCGGCAGCAGUGAACAGCUGGAGAGACCUGAAGACGAUGGCGGAAGAGGCCAUGAGCUGAGGAAUGAAGAACACAAGUGCAUCUCUCACCCCCAGAGCCUACAGAGGGAUGCAACCCUGCAAACAUGUUGACUUUGCCCUGUCACUCUAAACUUCAGGUUUCUGGAACUGUAAGGCAGUUAGACAAGUCUGUGUUGUUUUUAAGCCACUAAUUUGGUGGCAGCUUGUUACAACAGUGGUAGGAAACUAAUAAAUGAUAUUUAAAAAUUCAAUAACUGUAUUUACAUCUUUACCCAAGGACUUUAGAGGAUUCUGUUAAUGGGUAGAAAAUAACCUACAUCCUUUCUCUCCCUUACAGUUCCGCAGUUCACUACAGCCUGUUUCAAGCAAUGGUCUACUUCUGAAUUAAACACAGUGAAACCUUAACACUGCCCAGCCUUUAAAGUACAUCACCCUGA